Small nucleolar RNA from Lolium rigidum, 136 nucleotides. RefSeq annotates it as small nucleolar RNA Z247. The transcript has a single exon. Lineage: Eukaryota; Viridiplantae; Streptophyta; Magnoliopsida; Poales; Poaceae. The record is from RefSeq and is a predicted model, not a curated record.
AAAAUCGAUGAUAAUGAGAUGAAGGGCUACAUCCUCAAUGGCAUUGACGGUGACUAUAAUCCGUUUGUCGCCUCUAUAAAUGAGGUGUCCGGAACAACUCUCAUGGAUAUGUGCUCGCAGCUCAUGGCUUUUGACU